AGGAAGAGGAAUAGGCUAUGACCUAAUGCU
This 30-nucleotide non-coding RNA is filed under the name Homo sapiens (human). Lineage: Eukaryota; Metazoa; Chordata; Mammalia; Primates; Hominidae. The record is from RNAcentral.